This 595-nucleotide ribosomal RNA is filed under the name uncultured bacterium. Its description in RNAcentral is "bacterial SSU rRNA". It matches the Rfam family "Bacterial small subunit ribosomal RNA", at positions 38 to 643 of the family's 1533-position model. The record is from RNAcentral.
GGCGGCGUGCUUAACACAUGCAAGUCAAGGGGGCCCAGCAAUGGGCAACCGGCGAACGGGUGCGUAACACGUGAGCAACCUACCGAACUGUGGGGGAUAGCCGGCCUAACGGCCGAGUAAUACCGCAUACGCUUUCAGUGAGGCAUUUCAUUGAAAGGAAACCUACGGGACAGAUCGAGGGGCUCGCGGCCUAUCAGCUAGUUGGCGAGGUAACGGCUCACCAAGGCAACGACGGGUAGCUGGUCUGAGAGGAUGGCCAGCCACAUUGGGACUGAGAUACGGCCCAGACUCCUACGGGAGGCAGCAGUGGGGAAUCUUGCGCAAUGGCCUAACGGCUGACGCAGCGACGCCGCGUGUGGGAUGAAGCUCUUCGGAGUGUAAACCACUGUUGCCCGGGACGAACAGCUCGAUUAAUCGAGCCUGACGGUACCGGGUGAGGAAGCACCGGCUAACUCCGUGCCAGCAGCCGCGGUAAUACGGGGGGUGCGAGCGUUGUCCGGAAUCACUGGGCGUAAAGGGCGCGUAGGUGGUUUGAUAAGGGUGUGGUGAAAGUCCGGGGCUCAACCCGGGAUCUGCCGUGCCGACUGUCAAACUC